Molecule: ribosomal RNA, 119 nt
Filed under: Pteropus alecto (black flying fox)
Lineage: Eukaryota; Metazoa; Chordata; Mammalia; Chiroptera; Pteropodidae
Source: RNAcentral
GUCUAUGGCCAUGCCACCCUGAACGAGUCCGAUCUUGUCCGAUCUCAGAAGCUAAGCAGGUUUGAGCCUGAUUAGUACUUGGAUGGGAGACCACCUAGGAAGACCAGGUGCUAUAGGCG